This is a long non-coding RNA of Homo sapiens (human), 348 nucleotides long. The record is from Ensembl. Lineage: Eukaryota; Metazoa; Chordata; Mammalia; Primates; Hominidae.
CUAAAUGUGUUCUGAAGAUAACAUAGAUGAAACUUCCAUCAACACUGCCAAUCGAAAAAAAAAAAGCACAUGCCAACAUAAUACAAUUUUUCCUCAGAAGGAUUUUGGUAAUUUGAGAAACCUGAAUUCCAAGUUCCUUUCUCCUUUUCAAGUUACAAAAUGCUUCCCAACCAACAUGCACAGCACUGCAAACAUAUAUUAAAGCAUCACAAAACAAAAACUGUAAUUAAAAUUGAAACUCUGUGACUCAUGUUCAUUAUGUCAAAUAUACAGAUGGCUGGUGUUGAACAUAGCUCAAAUCGUUUUCUAACCAUAAUCAUGUAUAAUAAAAGAUUAAUAUGGAGUGAA